This 279-nucleotide ribosomal RNA is filed under the name uncultured bacterium. Its description in RNAcentral is "partial 16S ribosomal RNA". It matches the Rfam family "Bacterial small subunit ribosomal RNA", at positions 506 to 784 of the family's 1533-position model. The record is from RNAcentral.
UGCCAGCAUCCGCUGUACUACUGAUUGUGCAAUCGUUAAUCGGAAUUACUGGGCGUAAAGCGCGCGUAGGUGGAUUAUUAAGUCAGAUGUGAAAGCCCAGGGCUUAACCUUGGAACUGCAUUUGAUACUGGUAAUCUUGAGUACAGUAGAGGGAGGUGGAAUUUCAGGUGUAGCGGUGAAAUGCGUAGAUAUCUGAAGGAACAUCAGUGGCGAAGGCGACCUUCUGGACUGAUACUGACACUGAGGUGCGAAAGCGUGGGGAGCGAACAGGAUUAGAUA